This 90-nucleotide small RNA is filed under the name Pedobacter suwonensis. Its description in RNAcentral is "Flavo-1 RNA". It matches the Rfam family "Flavo-1 RNA". Lineage: Bacteria; Pseudomonadati; Bacteroidota; Sphingobacteriia; Sphingobacteriales; Sphingobacteriaceae. The record is from RNAcentral.
ACCUAGCCCUGAUUGAAGUGAAGAUCUUUUUUUGUCACCCUGAGCGAAGUCGAAGGGCAAAAAAGAUCGGAGCGCAAAGCAGGACUAACG